RNAcentral lists this ribosomal RNA (497 nucleotides) under uncultured bacterium. RNAcentral describes it as "partial 16S ribosomal RNA". It matches the Rfam family "Bacterial small subunit ribosomal RNA", at positions 28 to 507 of the family's 1533-position model. The record is from RNAcentral.
GAUGAACGCUGGCGGCGUGCCUAAUACAUGCAAGUCGAGCGAACGGACGAGACGCUUGCUUCUCUGAUGUUAGCGGCGGACGGGAGAGUAACACGUGGAUAACCUACCUAUAAGACUGGGAUAACUUCGGGAAACCGGAGCUAACACCGGAUAAUAUCUUGAACCGCAGGGUUCAAAAGUGAAAGACGGCCUUGCUGUAUCUUAUCGAUGGAUCCGCGCUGCAUUAGCUAGUUGGGAAGGUAAAGGGUUACCAAGGGAACGAUGCGUAACCGACCGGUGAGGGUGGUCGGCCACACUGGAACGGGGACGCGGUCCAGACGCCUACGAGAGGCAGCAGUAGGGAAUGGUCCGCAAUGGGCGAAAGCCUUACGGAGCAGCGCCGCGUGAGUGGUGAAGGUCUUCGGACCGUAAAGCUCUGUUAUGAGGUAAGAACAUAUGUGUAAUUAACUGUGCACAUCGUGACGGUACCUAAUCAGAAAGCCACGGCUAACUACGUG